CACGUAGGGGACGAGCGUUGUCCGGAUUCAUUGGGCGUAAAGCGCGCGUAGGCGGCUCGGCAAGUCGGUCGUGAAAUGCCGGGGCUCAACCCCGGGACUGCGUCCGAUACUUCCGGGCUGGAGGUAGGUAGGGGAGAUCGGAAUUCCUGGUGUAGCGGUGGAAUGCGCAGAUAUCAGGAGGAACACCGGUGGCGAAGGCGGGUCUCUGGGCAGUAACUGACGCUGAGGAGCGAAAGCGUGGGGAGCGAACAGG
RNAcentral lists this ribosomal RNA (253 nucleotides) under uncultured bacterium. RNAcentral describes it as "partial 16S ribosomal RNA". It matches the Rfam family "Bacterial small subunit ribosomal RNA", at positions 524 to 776 of the family's 1533-position model. The record is from RNAcentral.